GAGAAAUGCCUCUCAGGACACUUUUUGGAGUGCCCACUGUGGUGAAGUAAUAGCAAAAUGUAAAUGGGAUGAAGGAGGGCACGGGGGCUCCAGAGCCACAGUCCUGGGGUAGACUCCUGCCUCUGCCUAUUACCAGCCACUAUGACCUGAAGCAGCUGAGUUUUCUCAUUUGGAAGAUGGACAUAAAACUCUGGACAUCGCCAGGUUCUCAUGAAGACAAUGCAAGAUCACGUGACUGGCAGGCAGGACUCAAAUUCAAGUUGGAAAAUCAUCCAGUGAGAAACAGCCGUGACUUCAGGACUGGAAAGAGCUGUCCCAUUUUGCUUUGUUUUGGGAAACUGAUGGUAAUAAUAAUCAUCCCUGACUCUAUUGUGUCUCACA
Long non-coding RNA from Hyaena hyaena (striped hyena), 381 nucleotides. RefSeq lists it as uncharacterized. The record is from RefSeq and is a predicted model, not a curated record. Lineage: Eukaryota; Metazoa; Chordata; Mammalia; Carnivora; Hyaenidae. The transcript is spliced from 3 exons.